This 827-nucleotide long non-coding RNA is filed under the name Pan troglodytes (chimpanzee). Its description in RNAcentral is "long non-coding RNA NONPTRT016514". Lineage: Eukaryota; Metazoa; Chordata; Mammalia; Primates; Hominidae. The record is from RNAcentral.
CAGCGGGUCACAAUGGCUUUGCUUGCGUAACAAAUUCCCUUCAGCCCAGCUCACUACAGAAAGCCGUGGAGAACAACAAAAAGGAAAACCAACCCCGAGUGGUCUCUGCCGAGCCCAGAUGCACGACGGGACCUCAGGCCAAGCCCACGCCAAGUCAGCCCCAAGGGACUAGGAAGAGCAGCCACGUUUGAUUUUGUUCUUCAGCUUCGCCUUUCUAACAGCAAGGACUUGGCUGUCUCUAGACAGGAGACAGACGCUGUCCAACUUAUUCUAAAAUUCUCUUUCACUCUUACGCUCAGACGCCCUCAUGCCACGGGCAGGUUGUAAGCAAAUCCAACACGGCAGAUAGUAAUUAAGCCUGCAGAGAGGAUUUCUGUACGUCAGCACACCCAGGAGCGUAUGUAAUAGGAGUCUCACUCGUUUUUGUUUGCCCGUCUCUCACAUAGACUUACAUUCUUACCUACGUGUGCAUUUCGUGUUCUGGACGAUGGUGCUCCAGCACCUGCCCUUGCAGGAGCUCCUCUUUUCUUCUUUGCUGUGGUCAGUUGCUGGGACCCAGGGGCCGAGUGGAUCACGCAGCAACCUUCAUCACGGGGGAUCAUUCUGGGGGCAUGUGUGGCCUUUUCUCUGGCUUGCUUGCUCCUUAUCUGUAUUCAUUCUGUCCUCUGCAUUCCUUCCUUUCUUCCUUCCUUCCUCUGUGCCCCACUUCCAUUCCACUCCUCUCUCAUGCACAGUCACACAUGGUAGACAAUGUAUUAUUUAAAUACAUUCCUGCAGAAUUUCUAUUGUUGUAUGUGCCUCAUUUUUAACUCACGACCACGUUUUUC